Molecule: ribosomal RNA, 470 nt
Filed under: uncultured Anaerolineaceae bacterium
Lineage: Bacteria; Bacillati; Chloroflexota; Anaerolineae; Anaerolineales; Anaerolineaceae
Description: bacterial SSU rRNA
Rfam family: Bacterial small subunit ribosomal RNA
Source: RNAcentral
GAAACUCAAAGGAAUUGACGGGACCCGCACAAGCAGCGGAGCGUGUGGUUUAAUUCGUUGCUACACGAAGAACUUACCUGGGUUUGACAUAUAGGUUGUAGGGAACUGAAAGGGACCGACCCUUCGGGGAGCCUAUACAGGUGUUGCAUGGCUGUCGUCAGCUCGUGUCGUGAGAUGUUCGGUUAAGUCCGCUAACGAGCGCAACCCUCGUCGUAUGUUAUAUGUGUCAUACGAGACUGCCGGUAAAAAGCCGGAGGAAGGUGAGGAUGAUGUCAAGUCAGCAUGACCUUUAUAUCCAGGGCUACACACACGCUACAAUGGUCUGUACAAUGGGUAGCCAAGCCGCGAGGCGGAGCCAAUCCUGAAAGCAGGCCUCAGUUCAGAUUGCAGUCUGCAACUCGACUGCAUGAAGCCGGAGUUGCUAGUAACCGCAGGUCAGCAAUACUGCGGUGAAUACGUUCCCGGGUCUU